Molecule: ribosomal RNA, 569 nt
Filed under: uncultured Archaeorhizomycetes
Lineage: Eukaryota; Fungi; Ascomycota; Archaeorhizomycetes
Description: eukaryotic LSU rRNA
Rfam family: Eukaryotic large subunit ribosomal RNA
Source: RNAcentral
UUGGAACAGGAGGUCAUGGAGGGUGAGAACCCCGUACAUGGCUUGGGCGCCGCCGUCCUUGUGACGCAUCCUCUAAGAGUCGGGUUGUUUGGGAAUGCAGCUCAAAAUGGGUGGUAAAUUUCAUCUAAAGCUAAAUAUGGGCGAGAGACCGAUAGCAAACAAGUAGAGUGAUCGAAAGAUGAAAAGUACUUUGAAAAGAGAGUGAAACAGUACGUGAAAUUGUUGAAAGGGAAGCGUUUGGCAUCAGCCCAUGGCGGUGGUACGAACAUCCUUGCUUUUUUUAUGGUGCACUCGUCCACCGUUGGGCCAGCGUCGGCUCUGCCUGCCAGAGAAAGGCCUUGGGGAAGUGGCUCUCCCUUCGGGGAGCGUGUUAUAACCCAUGGUGUCAUGUGGCUUUGGCGGGGCCGAGGUCCGCGGUUUUGUCCUAGGACGCUGGCGUAAUGGUUCCAAGCGACCCGUCUUGAAACACGGACCAAGGAGUCUAACAUCUAUGCGAGUGUUUGGGUGUCAAGCCCGACCGCGCAAUGAAAGUGAAUGCAGGCGGGAGCCCCUCCAGGGUGCACCGCCGA